This 933-nucleotide ribosomal RNA is filed under the name Cortinarius sp. PDD 72718. RNAcentral describes it as "eukaryotic LSU rRNA". It matches the Rfam family "Eukaryotic large subunit ribosomal RNA", at positions 46 to 961 of the family's 3401-position model. Lineage: Eukaryota; Fungi; Basidiomycota; Agaricomycetes; Agaricales; Cortinariaceae. RNAcentral also lists the same sequence under 1 other name. The record is from RNAcentral.
AUAAGCGGAGGAAAAGAAACUAACCAGGAUUCCCUUAGUAACUGCGAGUGAACAGGGAAAAGCUCAAAUUUAAAAUCUGGCAGUCUUUAACUGUCCGAGUUGUAAUCUAGAGAAGUGUUUAUCUGCGCUGGACCGUGUACAAGUCUCCUGGGAUGGAGCAUCAUAGAGGGUGAGAAUCCCGUCUUUGACACGGACUGCCGGGGCUUUGUGAUGCGCUCUCAAAGAGUCGAGUUGUUUGGGAAUGCAGCUCAAAAUGGGUGGUAAAUUCCAUCUAAAGCUAAAUAUUGGCGAGAGACCGAUAGUGAACAAGUACCGUGAGGGAAAGAUGAAAAGAACUUUGGAAAGAGAGUUAAACAGUACGUGAAAUUGCUGAAAGGGAAACGCUUGAAGUCAGUCGCGUUGGCCAGGGAUCAUCCCUUGCUUUUGCUUGGUGUACUUUCUGGUUGAUGGGUCAGCAUCAAUUUUGACUAUUGGAGAAAGGUCAAGGGAAUGUGGCAUCUUAGGAUGUGUUAUAGCCCUUGGUUGCAUACAAUGGUCGGGAUUGAGGAACUCAGCACGCCGAAAGGCGGGAUUUUUUAAUCACAUACGUGCUUAGGAUGCUGACACAAUGGCUUUAAUCGACCCGUCUUGAAACACGGACCAAGGAGUCUAACAUACCUGCGAGUAUUUGGGUGGAAAACUCAAGUGCGUAAUGAAAGUGAAAGUUAAGAUCCCUGUUAUUGGGGAGCAUUGACGCCCGGACCAGACCUUUUGCGACGGUUCCGCGGUAGAGCAUGUAUGUUGGGACCCGAAAGAUGGUGAACUAUGCCUGAAUAGGGUGAAGCCAGAGGAAACUCUGGUGGAGGCUCGUAGCGAUUCUGACGUGCAAAUCGAUCGUCAAAUUUGGGUAUAGGGGCGAAAGACUAAUCGAACCAUCUAGUAGCUGGUUCCUGC